This 513-nucleotide ribosomal RNA is filed under the name uncultured bacterium. RNAcentral describes it as "bacterial SSU rRNA". It matches the Rfam family "Bacterial small subunit ribosomal RNA", at positions 355 to 887 of the family's 1533-position model. The record is from RNAcentral.
UGGGGAAUCUUGGACAAUGGGCGCAAGCCUGAUCCAGCCAUGCCGCGUGAGCGAUGAAGGCCUUAGGGUUGUAAAGCUCUUUCACCGGUGAAGAUAAUGACGGUAGCCGGAGAAGAAGCCCCGGCUAACUCCGUGCCAGCAGCCGCGGUAAUACGGAGGGGGCUAGCGUUGUUCGGAAUUACUGGGCGUAAAGCGCGCGUAGGCGGACUGAUCAGUCAGGGGUGAAAUCCCGGGGCUCAACCCCGGAACUGCCUCCAAAACUAUUGGUCUAGAGUUCGAGAGAGGUGAGUGGAAUUCCAAGUGUAGAGGUGAAAUUCGUAGAUAUUUGGAGGAACACCAGUGGCGAAGGCGGCUCACUGGCUCGAUACUGACGCUGAGGUGCGAAAGUGUGGGGAGCAAACAGGAUUAGAUACCCUGGUAGUCCACACCGUAAACGAUGAAUGCCAGUCGUCGGGUAGCAUGCUAUUCGGUGACACACCUAACGGAUUAAGCAUUCCGCCUGGGAGUACGGCU